AGAAACUCAGGAGUGGCUGGAGGAGACAGACUCGGAAGAGGACAGUGAGGAGGUUGAAGGUGCUGAGGGUGGAGACGAGGAUGAGGACGAAGACAGCGGAGAGGAGAGCGGUGCGGAGGACUGAGAAGAGCCCCCUCCAGGGGCGCCUGGCAAGUGCUGUGCCCACGUCCGCCCAGGACCCAGCCGUGUUGGGUGAAGCUCUCAGGGCCAGCCUGUGCCGUGACACACAGGAGAGAGCUGAAGGUGGGUGGCCCAGGCCAGGGCGUGAACUUUCUCCCAUGAUUUAGUCUUUGAUGCGGCGCUGGGCCAGAAGUUCAACUGAGUGCAGUGCGGGUGGAUUCCCUCAGCAGCCUGUGUGUUGUGUAAAAUAAAUUGGACUUCAAACAAGA
Molecule: long non-coding RNA, 389 nt
Organism: Mandrillus leucophaeus (drill)
Lineage: Eukaryota; Metazoa; Chordata; Mammalia; Primates; Cercopithecidae
Exons: 2
Source: RefSeq, a predicted model, not a curated record